GAAAACAUCACAACACACAAAAAGCCAACAGUCGUCCACUGUUGAGGUGAAACCCAAGAGAUGAAGCUCCAGAGAUUUGGACUCAGUUUGAGGGUCUGGAGGGAUUUUGUUAUAACAGCAGCCUGUACAGCAUCAGCACCUCCUACAGCUGUAUGCAGAAGCUGAUUAGAGUUUGAUGAUUUUGGAUUCUGUUAGAUCUGUCGUCUGAAUCUCUAUCAGGUCUACCGAUGAAUGAUAUCGAUCGAGUAUCUGCAGGUCAUCUUCAUGAGCAUCAGACAGAUGAAGCUGUAAGUUUUAGGGGCGGUUUCCCGGACAGGGAUUAUCUUAAUCCAGGACUAGGCCUUAGUUUAAUGAGGAAAUAUAACUAGUUUUAACAAACAUGCCUUACUAAAAACAUUACCUUUGUACAUUCUGAGGCAAAACAAAGGACACUGAUGUAUUUUAAGAUAUGUAGGUGCAAGUUGUUUUCAGUUUGAGACAGCUCUUAAAAAUGUUUUAGUCUAGGACUAGUUUAAUUC
Long non-coding RNA from Misgurnus anguillicaudatus (oriental weatherfish), 518 nucleotides. RefSeq lists it as uncharacterized. The record is from RefSeq and is a predicted model, not a curated record. NCBI's taxonomy places the organism in Eukaryota, Metazoa, Chordata, Actinopteri, Cypriniformes, Cobitidae.